UAUGCUUCUCAGCCUUUUUACUGAGAUCAAGUGUAAUAUCUGUUCUUAUUAGUGUUGCUCGCGAAUAUUCGCAAUUCGAAUAUUAUUUGCGAAUUUCGCGAAUAGAGCGCUAUAUAUUCGUAAUUACGAAUAUUCGUUUUUUUUUUUUUUUUUUCACAGUACACAUCACAGUGAUCAUCCCUC
Molecule: small nuclear RNA, 183 nt
Organism: Hyla sarda
Lineage: Eukaryota; Metazoa; Chordata; Amphibia; Anura; Hylidae
Product: U2 spliceosomal RNA
Exons: 1
Source: RefSeq, a predicted model, not a curated record